Paramuricea clavata is the source of this 287-nucleotide non-coding RNA. The record is from the annotation of a GenBank genome assembly. NCBI's taxonomy places the organism in Eukaryota, Metazoa, Cnidaria, Anthozoa, Malacalcyonacea, Plexauridae.
GUCAAUGUAUAACUCUCAUAGCUGAACUCAAUAUUCAAUGCUGUUAAAAUUGUACCGUUUAAUUAAUAGUGUUUUUAAACAAGGCGACAACAAGCAAUGCGCAAAAGCGCAUGUAUUUAAGAAUUUUUCAAAGCAGCUAUAUUGUCUAUACUUAUUACUUACCGUUAGGAUCUGAGGACGUUUUUACAUCCAUUUCAAACGCGCAAUUUGUUUGUGCCAUGUUGAGAAAACCGGUCCACAGAAACGUGCAUGUACUGUAUUUACACUGCGUCAGAACUUGCAGAGUA